Molecule: long non-coding RNA, 2717 nt
Organism: Diceros bicornis minor
Lineage: Eukaryota; Metazoa; Chordata; Mammalia; Perissodactyla; Rhinocerotidae
Exons: 2
Source: RefSeq, a predicted model, not a curated record
UCUUGCAUUUGACCCACGGGCGACUUUGGGGCCCCCACACGGACACGUUCUCAAGAUGUCACGACCUGUAGUGAAAUUCUAAUCAUCCCUUCGCGGCCACCAUUGAUUGAGCGCUUGCUGUGUGUAUGGCCUCUGCACGGCAAAGCCCUGGAGAGCCACAGGAGGGGCUCAUGGAGGCCCCCCUGCGCUCAGCGAAGAUUCUCCUCACCAGCCCGAGAAACAGGCAUGCCCAACUCUGCUUUACGGAUGAGGAAAGAAAGGCCCCGGGCAGGCAGAGAUGUUCGUGAGGGCACACACGGUGGGGCCCUGGGAGGAUGGGGCUGCGGAUCCCACCGUGCGCAGCUGAGGCUGCUGAGGAGGGGGUCCCCGAGGAGCCGUCUGGGUUGGGGGUGAAUGCCACCACUUCCAAAAGAGGCCGAAGUGCAGGAAGAGGCCUUGCAGAUCCCUGGAUCCACUCCACAGAUGGGGAAAUCAAGUCCCAAGAGGGCCAGGGACUUGCUUGAGGACACACAGGGCUUUCGGGAGCCCAAACCUGUUUUCUGAAAGGAGACUUGACCAGCACCCCCACCCCCAUGGAAUCACAUGACUGUAGCUUACUUUUCCCUGGUUUGUUAAUGAAGGUGUAAGCUCAACAUUCACUGCCGUGUGAGGAUCACCCAAAUCAAGAUAGGGGACAUGUGUGCUUCCCUCAGCCUCUUCCAGGCAGUGCCCCACCCCUGGAGGUAACCACUCUCCUGGACUUCUAGCAUCAUUGCCUAACUCGCUUUUUCUAGAACUCCGUGUAAACAGAAUCGUAUAGUAUGUACUUUAGUGUGCCGUUUCUUCUGGUCAACACUUCACCUGUGAGAUUCAUCCGUGUCGUUGCUUCUUUGUCAUCACUGAAUAGUCUUGUCGUGUGCUUACACCAGGGUCGAUGUAUCUACCACCUGUGGAUGGGCCUUUGGGCUGUGUCUGGGUUUGCCUGCCGUGGACCAUCUGGAGCACUCUGUUGGGGUCUGUAGCAUAGACCCCUCUUGGGCGGCCCAGGAGUGGAUUGUGGGGUCUCAGUAGCUGUACCUUGAGUUUUAUGAGAUGUUGCCAGGUCUUCUUCCAGAGUGGUUGUCCCGUUUUACACUCAGCACUGUGGCCGACCCCGUUGAGUGGCAAGUUCGGUGAUGUCGGUCUCUCAGUCUUGUUCAUUUUUGCUGUUCUGAUGGGCGUGAAGUGGUCUCUCGCUGGCUUUGGUUUGCGUUUGCCUGAUGACUGAUGAUAUUAGCCUUUUUCAGUUGCUCCUUGGCCGUUUGGAUAUCCACUUUUGUGAAGAGCCUGUGUGUGUGUUGUAUCACGGAGUCUGGAAACAAAACAAGGCUGAGGAGUGAGUCACUAUAUACAAGGAGACAGACAAGGAUCCUGAGGUCAGAGGGGGCCUUGACCUCAGCUGAGUCAGGGCUGGCUACAAUCCUGAGCAAGCAAGAUGUGACCUUGUGUGUGUCUCAGAUGACUUCUCUGUGUCCCAAGAACUUGAGUAGGGUGGGGAGGCCAGAGCAAGUUACUGGAAAUUCCAUGAACAUGCCAUGCUGUUUCCCGCUCUGGGCCUUUGCAUGUGCUAUUGCCCACACAUCGCCUCCUCUGGGGAGCCCUCACUGAUGCUCCCCAGCCGGCCUGGGUCCAGGGGAGAUUCCUCUCUGAAGAAGUCCCUGGCAGGGCCCCGUGCACACCAGGCCCAGCACAAGAGGCCAGGUUCCUCCCUGUUUUUGACUCUCUUCUUUCUCUCCUACGUUUAAAUGUCUACUAGCUUGUUGAGGUCUUUAAACCUUGUAGAAAUCCUUUGUGGAACAAGGCAGUGGGUCAACACAAGAAUAAAGCAAGCAAUUAAUGUUUGCUGAGUUGAAUGGACUUGCUCUAUCUUUCGACCCCAAAGCAUGCUGGUCCUAGAGGAGACCUUGGGGAGGGGUUGCUGAAUGAAUGUGUGAUCCCUGAGGCAAGAAAGAAAAGCUGGGUCCCAGCAGCCUUGGUAGAUGGGCACUAAGUGCUAAAAGCUCCUGUGGCCGGGGCGCAUGUCUCCAUGUGGAGACCCGUCAUUUGUAUGCAGGAUAUCAUUUAUCAGUCAGUCGUUACCUCAUCUAGCAAACAUGUAUUGAGCUCUGCCCCUGUGCUGGUCACUGGUCUAGAGCACACACCAGUGAAGAAGACAGUCCCGUUCCCUGCCCUUCAGGAACUUCCAUUCUAGGGGAGGGAGAGACAAUAAGCAAAGAGGGAAAUAAAUACAUGCUCCAUCUCACGGAGAUAAGGGCCCCGGAGAGAGAUUCAGCGGGGAGGGGGGCUGAGCUUUCGAGGGUUUCGGACAGGGUGGCCAGGCAGACCUCAAAUGACUUGGGUUCUUUUUAUGGGAAGCUUGAAGGAGGUGAGGGAAUGGGGCAAGAGAUGUCGGGGAAGAGCAGUCCAGGCAGAGAGAAGAGCCAGUGCAAAGGCCCUGAGGUGUGUUUAAAAAGCACACUGAGGCCACUGUGGCUGGGGCUAAGUGAGCCAGGGCAGAGGGGAGAGGCUGAGGGGCCCAAGGGCAGAUCAAGCGGCCUUGCUGGCCACAGUGGGGCCUUCAGCUUUUAGUCCGAGCCAGGAGGAGCCAUGGGAGGGUUUCAAGCCGACUAGUGACACAACCUUAGGUUUUUUUUUCACAGUGGAAAAUUUCAAACAUGUAUGUAAAUAGAAUAAUAAAAUGAAGCCCAGUGUACCCAUCA